UCCGGUUGAUCCUGCCAGAGGUUACUGCUAUCGGUGUUCGCCUAAGCCAUGCGAGUCAUAUGUAGCAAUACAUGGCGUACUGCUCAGUAACACGUGGAUAACCUGCCCUUGGGACCGGCGUAACCCCGGGAAACUGGGGAUAAUUCCGGAUAACGCAUAUUUGCUGGAAUGCUUUAUGCGUCAAAAGGAUUCGUCUGCCCAAGGAUGGGUCUGCGGCCUAUCAGGUAGUAGUGGGUGUAAUGUACCUACUAGCCAGCGACGGGUACGGGUUGUGAGAGCAAGAGCCCGGAGAUGGAUUCUGAGACAUGAAUCCAGGCCCUACGGGGCGCAGCAGGCGCGAAAACUUUACAAUGCGGGAAACCGUGAUAAGGGGACACCGAGUGCCAGCAUCAUAUGCUGGCUGUCCGGAUGUGUAAAAUACAUCCGUUAGCAAGGGCCGGGCAAGACCGGUGCCAGCCGCCGCGGUAACACCGGCGGCCCGAGUGGUGAUCGUGAUUAUUGGGUCUAAAGGGUCCGUAGCCGGUUUGGUCAGUCCUCCGGGAAAUCUGAUAGCUCAACUAUUAGGCUUUCGGGGGAUACUGCCAGACUUGGAACCGGGAGAGGUAAGAGGUACUACAGGGGUAGGAGUGAAAUCUUGUAAUCCCUGUGGGACCACCUGUGGCGAAGGCGUCUUACCAGAACGGGUUCGACGGUGAGGGACGAAAGCUGGGGGCACGAACCGGAUUAGAUACCCGGGUAGUCCCAGCCGUAAACGAUGCUCGCUAGGUGUCAGGCAUGGCGCGACCGUGUCUGGUGCCGCAGGGAAGCCGUGAAGCGAGCCACCUGGGAAGUACGGCCGCAAGGCUGAAACUUAA
Molecule: ribosomal RNA, 854 nt
Filed under: uncultured archaeon
Lineage: Archaea
Description: bacterial SSU rRNA
Rfam family: Archaeal small subunit ribosomal RNA
Source: RNAcentral